AGCGAACGCUGGCGGCAGGCUUAACACAUGCAAGUCGAGCGUGCGUAGCAAUACGUCAGCGGCAGACGGGUGAGUAACGCGUGGGAACGUACCUUUUGGUUCGGAACAACACAGGGAAACUUGUGCUAAUACCGGAUAAGCCCUUACGGGGAAAGAUUUAUCGCCGAAAGAUCGGCCCGCGUCUGAUUAGCUAGUUGGUGAGGUAAUGGCUCACCAAGGCGACGAUCAGUAGCUGGUCUGAGAGGAUGAUCAGCCACAUUGGGACUGAGACACGGCCCAAACUCCUACGGGAGGCAGCAGUGGGGAAUAUUGGACAAUGGGGGCAACCCUGAUCCAGCCAUGCCGCGUGAGUGAUGAAGGCCCUAGGGUUGUAAAGCUCUUUUGUGCGGGAUGAUAAUGACGGUACCGCAAGAAUAAGCCCCGGCUAACUUCGUG
RNAcentral lists this ribosomal RNA (435 nucleotides) under uncultured bacterium. RNAcentral's name for it is "bacterial SSU rRNA". It matches the Rfam family "Bacterial small subunit ribosomal RNA", at positions 29 to 507 of the family's 1533-position model. The record is from RNAcentral.